AACGAGCACUAACUAAAUGAUUGCUUCACUUUUUUAUAGUGUACCUUGUAAAAUUUUCCAUCAAACAGCCAAACCCGCCUGAAAAAGGAGCACUAACUAAAUGAUUGCUUCACUUUUUUAUAGUGUACCACCUUGUAAAAUUUUCCAUCAUAUAGCCAAACGUACGAGAACAAACCUACCACUAUCCACUAGUUUUAAUGGCUGAAAAGGCAGAUCGCCGAUUGCCCCUUUUUUCUUCUUUCUUAUUAUGAUUUGCAUACUUAAAAUAUAUAUUUUAGCAACAGAAGCUCUCUCUCUAACCCUCAUCACAGCAUGCUUUCCAUUGACCUGGUUUCUCUUCACUUCAGGGCGCCGAGAUUGAAUAUUAGCGGUUGCGCCAGCAAGAGCAAGAACACAUUCUUUUGUAAAAGCAGAGUCUCACUCCGAACCCAUCAAACGCGCUUCCUCAGUUCCCAUUCGUGGUGGUGCUCUGCGACUCUGUCAGUGAUGGCGGAGGAGGAGGAGGAAGAGAAGGAGAGGUUUGAAUUGGAUGGAGAAAGAGCAGGUGCGAUGGUGAAGGAGAUGAGAGAGUGCUUCAACAGGGGAAACACGAAGAGCUACGAGUGGAGAGUCACACAGUUAAAGAGUAUCUCCAAGAUGAUUGAUGAGAAAGAGAAUGACAUCAUUCAAGCUCUUCACAACGACCUCUCCAAACCCCAACAAGAAGCUUUCAUCUCCGAGAUUUCUAUGACUAAAAGCUCUUGUAAAUUAGCGCUUAAAGAAUUGAAACAUUGGAUGAUGCCAGAAAAGGUCAAAACUUCCAUGGCAACUUAUCCAUCAUCAGCAGAAAUUGUAUCAGAACCUCUUGGAGUUGUGUUGGUCAUUUCAACAUGGAACUACCCUUUCUUGUUAUCUCUUGAUCCGGUCAUUGGAGCCAUUGCAGCAGGUAAUGCAGUUGUUCUCAAACCAUCAGAAAUUGCUCCAGCCACAUCAUCAGUGCUUGCAAAAUUAUUAGAGGAGUAUGUGGACAAUACAGCCAUAAGAGUUGUUGAAGGGGCUGUUGCUGAAACAUCUGCUUUACUGGAGCAGAAGUGGGAUAAAAUAUUCUAUACAGGUAGUGGAAGAGUUGGAAGGAUUGUGAUGUCUGCUGCUGCAAAACACCUUACUCCAGUAAGUUUGGAACUUGGAGGGAAGUGUCCUGCUGUUGUAGAUUCAGAUGUUAACAUAGAAGUAGCCGUGAGGAGGAUAAUAGCAGGUAAGUGGGCAUGCAAUUGCGGACAGGCUUGCAUUGCUCCUGACUACUUAAUAACCACGAAAGGUUUUGCUCCAAAGUUGAUAGAGUCUCUAAGAUCAGAACUGAAGGUCUUCUUUGGAGAGGAUACGAUGGAAUCAAAAGACUUAUCUCGUAUUGUGAACUUACACCACUUCAAACGCUUAUCAAGGCUUAUGGAUGAGGAUAAAGUAUCUGAUAAGAUAGUACUUGGAGGGCACAGAAUUGAAAACCAAUUAAAGAUAGCUCCAACCAUCUUUUUGGAUGUUCCAGAAGACUCUCUGAUAAUGGAGGAGGAGAUAUUUGGGCCGUUACUACCCAUUGUCACGGUUGAAAAUUUGGAAGAUAGCUUUGCUGUAAUAAACUCAAGACCAAAGCCUCUUGCCGCAUAUCUUUUUACGAAUAAUGAGGGGCUGAAGAAGGACUUCGUGAAGAACAUUUCUUCUGGAGGAAUGGUUGUCAAUGACACUAUCCUACAAGUCACAGUCUCCACCUUACCUUUUGGAGGAGUUGGGGAGAGUGGGAUGGGUUCAUACCAUGGUAAAUUCUCUUUUGAUGCUUUUAGCCACAAAAAAGCAGUGCUUUACAGAAGUUUUGAAGGAGAUUCAUCGACAAGAUUGAGAUUGUUGGGCCACUUAAAUGUAUAAACUAGCCCCAGAUAAUUUGCUGCAAUACAAUCUCAAAUGUUAUUAACAUUUGAGGGAAAAGAAUCGGGAGUUCCUCGUCCACGCCAAAACAAUCAACUUUUUUAACAUGCUACAGAAAGCAAACUAAGCACCAUGAUUGCAAUCAGUGUGAGACCAAAAUUAGCAACAUUUGCUGUCUGGCUGCUUUUGGCUUCUGGGGGUGGAGCAGCUGCAGCAUUAGGUGGUGCUGCUGCUGCAGUGACAUUGGCUGCAGAGACAUUGGAGACCGGAGGUAGAGGUGGGUCCACAACAUCCUUAACAUCGAGAGCUGGCGCUGGGGCUCCUACAGGUGGCAGUUCUACUCCGUCUGGAACCAUCUGAAAUAUCGCACCAGGUACAACAGGGUAGUCUGUUACGAUCCCAUCAAGGCUGAAAGGUGGCGCAAUGAAUGUUGCCAGCUCUACGAUUGGAUCUGAGAAAAGAUCCAUUGCAAUCCCUGUAAAUUCAUUUCUGAAAACUGAGGAAUACACUGUUAAGUUGGCCUUCCUCAUCUCCUGAACAACGUUAGUAGGAGUGAUGGUGAAAUCAUUGGAAAUUUUAAUGAUGGAGCCUUUGCGGAUGUUAACUGCAUUGGCAAACUUCUUGAUUUCAUCCACUGUCGGCUUUGGUGCAUCACCUACUGUUUCUUCGAUGAGGAAUACUCGUUUGUAAGUUGGGACAUUGCUGAACUUCGAUAGGACUCCACCAUCGUCUGAUUGGAUCAACACUUGUUGGGUGGUUUCCUUGUCAAAAGUAGCAUUGCUCAAAGCAGUGGAAACAGUGUCAAUUAAGUCAAUACCCUUCUUUGAUGCCAAGUAGGCAGCAUUCUGAGAGGGAAAUUAAACAAUACAAGGGAUUGUAGAAGAUUUAGCAAUGAAAGUUGCCUUUGCAGUCGUAGCUGAUGCAAGGUCAGCUGAGCUCGAGCAGAAUGCAACUCCAUCCUUCGACAUCUGUACUGAGCAGUCAAUAAUGUCAGCUCCAUCAUCUACUGCUUUCUGGCCUGGUUGCAUUCUUGUUAUGUGCCAAACAUGCUGAAUGAGAAAGAAAGUUAGAACGCUUUAGUCAGACACAAACUUAAGAUAUAUAUAUACAUAUAUAUAUUGAGAAAGAAUAGUCCAGUUGAGAUUAUCUCACCAAUUGCUUCUGAUGCAGUGGAAGGGUAAUCUGUAAGGAACCCAUCAACAGAGAAUUGGGAAUUAUCAAUAUACUGCAAGUACUCAGCUGUUGGUUCA
Camellia sinensis is the source of this 3146-nucleotide non-coding RNA. NCBI's taxonomy places the organism in Eukaryota, Viridiplantae, Streptophyta, Magnoliopsida, Ericales, Theaceae. The record is from RefSeq and is a predicted model, not a curated record.